GCACCCGUAGCUCAGCUGGAUAGAGCGCCGCCCUCCGAAGGCGGAGGCCAGAGGUUCGAAUCCUCUCGGGUGCG
Non-coding RNA from Jannaschia donghaensis, 74 nucleotides. The record is from Rfam. NCBI's taxonomy places the organism in Bacteria, Pseudomonadati, Pseudomonadota, Alphaproteobacteria, Rhodobacterales, Roseobacteraceae.